This 494-nucleotide ribosomal RNA is filed under the name uncultured bacterium. RNAcentral's name for it is "partial 16S ribosomal RNA". It matches the Rfam family "Bacterial small subunit ribosomal RNA", at positions 28 to 507 of the family's 1533-position model. The record is from RNAcentral.
GACGAACGCUGGCGGCGUGCUUAACACAUGCAAGUCGAACGGAAAGGCCUGCUUUUCCUUGUGGAUUGCGGGUACUCGAGUGGCGAACGGGUGAGUAACACGUGAGUGAUCUGCCCCCAACUUGGGUAUAAGCCUGGGAAACUGGGUCUAAUUCCCGAUAGGACCGCAGGGUGGUGCCGGUGGUGGAAAACGUUUUUCUAGUGGUUGGGGAUGGGCUGCCGGCCUAUCAGCUUGUUGGUGGGGUAUUGGCCUACCAAGGGGGCGACGGGUAGCCGGCCUGGGAGGGUGGACAGCCGCAUUGGGACUGGGACACGGCCCAGACGCCAACGGGAGGCAGCAGAGGGGACGCAAGCGGAGUGAGCGGAACCCUGCUGCAGCGACGCCGCGUGGGGGAUGACGGGCUUCGGAUGGUAAGCUCCUGUCGACCGAGAGGAAGCCACCUGGUUGGAAGGGUGGUGACGGUAGUGGUAGAAGAAGCACCGGCUAACUACGUG